UACGUAGGGCGCAAGCGUUGUCCGGAAUUAUUGGGCGUAAAGAGCUCGUAGGCGGCUUGUCACGUCGGGUGUGAAAGCCCGGGGCUUAACCCCGGGUCUGCAUUCGAUACGGGCAGGCUAGAGUGUGGUAGGGGAGAUCGGAAUUCCUGGUGUAGCGGUGAAAUGCGCAGAUAUCAGGAGGAACACCGGUGGCGAAGGCGGAUCUCUGGGCCAUUACUGACGCUGAGGCACGAAGGUCAGGGGAGCAAACGGG
RNAcentral lists this ribosomal RNA (253 nucleotides) under uncultured bacterium. RNAcentral describes it as "partial 16S ribosomal RNA". It matches the Rfam family "Bacterial small subunit ribosomal RNA", at positions 524 to 776 of the family's 1533-position model. The record is from RNAcentral.